UCCUACGGGGGGCAGCAGUGAGGAAUAUUGGUCAAUGGGCGCGAGCCUGAACCAGCCAAGUCGCGUGAGGGAAGACGGUCCUAUGGAUUGUAAACCUCUUUUGUCGGGGAGCAAAAGACGCCACGCGUGGCGUUCCGAGAGUACCCGAAGAAAAAGCAUCGGCUAACUCCGUGCCAGCAGCCGCGGUAAUACGGAGGAUGCGAGCGUUAUCCGGAUUUAUUGGGUUUAAAGGGUGCGCAGGCGGCGAGUUAAGUCAGCGGUAAAAUUUCGGGGCUCAACCCCGACGAACCGUUGAAACUGGCUUG
This 305-nucleotide ribosomal RNA is filed under the name uncultured bacterium. Its description in RNAcentral is "bacterial SSU rRNA". It matches the Rfam family "Bacterial small subunit ribosomal RNA", at positions 337 to 640 of the family's 1533-position model. The record is from RNAcentral.